AACGAACGCUGGCGGCACGUUUUAAGCAUGCAAGUCGAAUGGCAGUGGGGGCAACCCCAUGAGAAUGGCGAACGGGUGAGUAACACGUAGGUGAUCUGCCUGACGGAUGGGGAUAGCUUGUGGAAACACAGGGUAAUACCGAAUGAGCUGACGAGACUUUGGUUUUGUUAGUAAAGGUGCUACGGCACCGCCGACAGAGGAGCCUGCGGCUGAUUAGCUAGUUGGUGGGGUAAAGGCCUACCAAGGCGACGAUCAGUAGCCGGCCUGAGAGGGUGUACGGCCACACUGGAACUGAGACACGGUCCAGACUCCUACGGGAGGCAGCAGCUAAGAAUCUUCCGCAAUGGGCGAAAGCCUGACGGAGCGAUGCCGCGUGAUCGAUGAAGGUCGAGAGAUUGUAAAGAUCUUUUCUACAUGAGGAAUAAGUCUGGGAGGGAAUGCCUGGAUGAUGACGUUAGUGUAGGAAUAAGCCCCGGCUAAUUACGUGCCAGCCGCCGCAGUAA
Molecule: ribosomal RNA, 503 nt
Filed under: uncultured bacterium
Lineage: Bacteria
Description: partial 16S ribosomal RNA
Rfam family: Bacterial small subunit ribosomal RNA
Source: RNAcentral